GACGAACGCUGGCGGCGUGCUUAACACAUGCAAGUCGAACGGUGAAGCGCCUUCCUUUUUGGUGGGUGUGGAUGAGUGGCGAACGGGUGAGUAACACGUGAGUAACCUGCCCCCUUCUUCUGGAUAACCGCAUGAAAGUGUGGCUAAUACGGGAUAUUCUGGGUCUGUCGCAUGAUGGGUCUGGGAAAGAUAUUGUUUCGGUGGGGGAUGGGCUCGCGGCCUAUCAGCUUGUUGGUGGGGUGAUGGCCUACCAAGGCGGUGACGGGUAGCCGGCCUGAGAGGGUGGGCGGUCACACUGGGACUGAGACACGGCCCAGACUCCUACGGGAGGCAGCAGUGGGGAAUAUUGCACAAUGGGCGCAAGGCUGAUGCAGCGACGCCGCGUGAGGGAUGGAGGCCGUCGGGUUGUGAACCUCUUUCGCCAGUGAAGCAGGCCUGCCUCGUUUGUGGGUGGGUUGACGGUAGCUGGAUAAGAAGCGCCGGCUAACUACGUG
RNAcentral lists this ribosomal RNA (494 nucleotides) under uncultured bacterium. Its description in RNAcentral is "partial 16S ribosomal RNA". It matches the Rfam family "Bacterial small subunit ribosomal RNA", at positions 28 to 507 of the family's 1533-position model. The record is from RNAcentral.